This 253-nucleotide ribosomal RNA is filed under the name uncultured bacterium. RNAcentral describes it as "partial 16S ribosomal RNA". It matches the Rfam family "Bacterial small subunit ribosomal RNA", at positions 524 to 776 of the family's 1533-position model. The record is from RNAcentral.
UACGUAGGGUCCGAGCGUUGUCCGGAAUUACUGGGCGUAAAGAGCUCGUAGGUGGUUUGUCGCGUUGUUCGUGAAAACUCACAGCUUAACUGUGGGCGUGCGGGCGAUACGGGCAGACUAGAGUACUGCAGGGGAGACUGGAAUUCCGGGUGUAGCGGUGGAAUGCGUAGAGAUCCGGAGGAAGACCGGUGGCGAAGGCGGCCUGCUGGGCAGUUACUGACACUGAGGCGCGACAGCGUGGGGAGCAAACAGG